UACGUAGGUGGCAAGCGUUGUCCGGAUUUACUGGGCGUAAAGAGCGCGCAGGCGGUCGGUCAAGUCGCGUGUGAAAGCCCCCGGCUUAACUGGGGAGGGUCAUUCGAUACUGCUCGGCUCGAAGACAGGAGAGGGAAGCGGAAUUCCCGGUGUAGUGGUGAAAUGCGUAGAUAUCGGGAGGAACACCAGUGGCGAAGGCGGCUUUCUGGCCUGUUCUUGACGCUGAGGCGCGAAAGCUAGGGGAGCAAACGGG
Molecule: ribosomal RNA, 253 nt
Filed under: uncultured bacterium
Lineage: Bacteria
Description: partial 16S ribosomal RNA
Rfam family: Bacterial small subunit ribosomal RNA
Source: RNAcentral